UACGCUGGGGCAGCCUACCAUGCNAGUCGAGCGGUUGACGGGAGCUUGCUCCCUGAUUCAGCGGCGGACGGGCGAGUAAUGCCUAGGAAUCUGCCUAUUAGUGGGGGACAACGUUUCGAAAGGAACGCUAAUACCGCAUACGUCCUACGGGAGAAAGCAGGGGACCUUCGGGCCUUGCGCUAAUAGAUGAGCCUAGGUCGGAUUAGCUAGUUGGUGGGGUAAUGGCUCACCAAGGCGACGAUCCGUAACUGGUCUGAGAGGAUGAUCAGUCACACUGGAACUGAGACACGGUCCAGACUCCUACGGGAGGCAGCAGUGGGGAAUAUUGGACAAUGGGCGAAAGCCUGAUCCAGCCAUGCCGCGUGUGUGAAGAAGGUCUUCGGAUUGUAAAGCACUUUAAGUUGGGAGGAAGGGCAGUAAAUUAAUACUUUGCUGUUUUGACGUUACCGACAGAAUAAGCACCGGCUAACUCUGUGCCAGCAGCCGCGGUAAU
RNAcentral lists this ribosomal RNA (493 nucleotides) under uncultured bacterium. Its description in RNAcentral is "bacterial SSU rRNA". It matches the Rfam family "Bacterial small subunit ribosomal RNA", at positions 33 to 524 of the family's 1533-position model. The record is from RNAcentral.